GUGCAAUCUCUAUGGUAACCACAUUUCCCAGUUGACUACUACCGGUAAUAAAAUCAAAUGGAUUCAGUGCUCACAACUCUUCAGUCUUUGGGCUACUUUCCAUUCUUGAAUUUUUAGCUGAAUUCAUCUCUUUGGCUGGAUUUUGUGAAUCGGGCAGCCAUUAGAACCAAAACAGUUCUGAGGAGCUCCCAGGCUGCAAUGUGGUGCGAAAUGUUUUAUGGACAGAAAAUGGAAAUGAGGUGCAGAAAUUGGAGGCUAAGAAUAAACUUGAAGACAAAGAGUAGAUUUUGGCCAGACACUGAUGCUAAAGUCACCCCGAUGCUGUCUUUGCUUCUAAGAUGAAAUUUCAGUCUUUAUUCAAGAUCAAGUGCAACUGUCUCUUUGAGGAAAGUCCUUUGACCGCCAUUUCUCCCCUUCAGAAGGCAAACACCUGGGGGAGAAGAUCUGCUUAAGGACCUGGUAACUGACAAAGAAUGGAAUGGGAGCGAGAACCGCCUAGCCAUCCCUUCUCCUUGCACAGUCAUGAAACAAAAGUUGAAAAGGAGCCUGGUUUUACUUGACCAGUCAUAAAUUACCAUAAAAUAAAAUGAGAUAUUAGGAA
Long non-coding RNA from Homo sapiens (human), 601 nucleotides. RefSeq annotates it as NRG1 intronic transcript 1. The record is from RefSeq and is marked validated. Lineage: Eukaryota; Metazoa; Chordata; Mammalia; Primates; Hominidae. The transcript has 4 exons.